GCGAUGUUUGUAACUGCCUGGUAGUGGGCCGUUCGGGGCCACGCGGAGUUUGUUACGGAGAGUAGUGGUGUCUGUUGUCGCGACUUGCCAGAAGAGUGGUGGGGCCACGUGAAGUUUGUUAUGGAGAGUGGAGUGGUGUCCGUUGUCGCGACUUGUCAGAGAGUGGUGGGGCCACGCGGAGUUUGUUAUAGAGAGUGGAGUGAUGUCCGUUGUCGCGACUUGUCAGAGAGUUUGGGUCGGACGGUUGAAGCUCGGUUGGGAUGUCUGGUGGAGCGAAAUAGCUCUCUGUCUCAGCACUUUGAGAGAAGCUCGGAUGCUUUCGAGGUUGCUGACGAGUCAACUGUUGUAGGGUGCCUUAGGUUCUGAUGCUGCAGAUCGAAGUCAUCUGCUGUAGAAGCUCGAGCGAAAAUUUUCUGUUGGAGAAGUCCGGCAGGAGUCCGAUCGCUAGAGAAGUCUGUCUGAAAUUUGUCUGAUGUAGAAGCUCGUCUGAAGACUGUCCGCUGGAGAGAUCCGGUUUCACGAGGAAUCCAGCAGAAGGUCGACCGAUAGUGGAGUUCGGAAGGCGUUGUGGAAGUUCGUCCGCUGGAGGAGUCUUGGGGACACUGUGGAAGGUUGACCGCUGGAGGAGUUUGGAAUUCAAUUCUAUUGUAGAAGUUCGGACGGAAUCCGAUUCUUAUAGGAGUCCGGAAGGAGGCCACUUACUGUAGAAGCUCGGACGAAGAUCGGUUGUCGUGGAAGCUCGGAUGGAGACUUCUUAUUGUAGAAGCUCGGAUGAAAUUCGGAAGGUGGUCGACCAUCGUAGAAAUUUGGAUGGAGUCUGGUUACUGUAGAAGUCCUGCAGUCGGAGAAGCUCGGCCAUUGACGAAGUCCGAAAGAAGUUCGGAGUAAAGUCAAUCGUGGUUGGAAGAAGUCUGGAAGAGAUUCGGAGAGUAGUCGAUCACUGUAGAAAAUCGGCUGAUAGUGAAGCUCAGAGAGCAUUUGGAGCAGUUCGGUAGAUGAAUGGAGGAGCUCAUUAUUGGAGAAGUCUGGAUGGCACGAUAGGAGUUCGUCCGUUGGAGGAAUCUGAAGGACACUGUGGAAGGUCGACUGCUGGGGGAGUCUGAAUGGUAUUAUGGAAGCUCGGACAGUCGAGGAGGUUCAGAAAGACGCCGCACAAGGUCGGAAGCCAGAAGAGCCCUGGGAGGGUCGGCCUCUUACGAACUUCGAUUGGGGUUAUUUUAUACCCAACACCAGUCCUCCUACUUUCGAGUUCGGAUUCUGAAUGAAGUACAGAGAAAUUUUUGCAGUCGAAGUUGCCUUCCUCGAUUUCUGUACUCGAUUGUUUCCAGAUAUUUUGGCGUUUGGCGCGCUGAUGCUAGAGUCUUUUCAAAUCGAGGUGAUCCGAAAAGAUUUUUUCGGAAUUUUCGUUGGAGCGUUGCUCUAGGUAAGGCGCAAUAAUGAUUCUGUCAGUCGUCAGCUGCCUUCAGUCGCCUGCCAUGAUGAGUGAGACACGUGGCGGUUGUAGAUCGGCUAGAGGAGAUCUGCAAUCAUUAUUGCGUCGGACCUAGUUGCCUAUUUAAACCCGCCCCCUCCUUUAGGGGUUUCACUUUGCCUG
This 1594-nucleotide long non-coding RNA is filed under the name Elaeis guineensis (African oil palm). RNAcentral describes it as "long non-coding RNA (EGUI_LNC081198)". Lineage: Eukaryota; Viridiplantae; Streptophyta; Magnoliopsida; Arecales; Arecaceae. The record is from RNAcentral.